This 1396-nucleotide ribosomal RNA is filed under the name Serratia sp. (in: enterobacteria). RNAcentral describes it as "bacterial SSU rRNA". It matches the Rfam family "Bacterial small subunit ribosomal RNA". The record is from RNAcentral. Lineage: Bacteria; Pseudomonadati; Pseudomonadota; Gammaproteobacteria; Enterobacterales; Yersiniaceae.
CAUGCANGUCGAGCGGUAGCACARGRGAGCUUGCUCUCUGGGUGACGAGCGGCGGACGGGUGAGUAAUGUCUGGGAAACUGCCUGAUGGAGGGGGAUAACUACUGGAAACGGUAGCUAAUACCGCAUAACGUCGCAAGACCAAAGAGGGGGACCUUCGGGCCUCUUGCCAUCAGAUGUGCCCAGAUGGGAUUAGCUAGUAGGUGGGGUAAUGGCUCACCUAGGCGACGAUCCCUAGCUGGUCUGAGAGGAUGACCAGCCACACUGGAACUGAGACACGGUCCAGACUCCUACGGGAGGCAGCAGUGGGGAAUAUUGCACAAUGGGCGCAAGCCUGAUGCAGCCAUGCCGCGUGUGUGAAGAAGGCCUUCGGGUUGUAAAGCACUUUCAGCGAGGAGGAAGGUGGUGAGCUUAAUACGUUCAUCAAUUGACGUUACUCGCAGAAGAAGCACCGGCUAACUCCGUGCCNVVVCVCCGCGGUAAUACGGAGGGUGCAAGCGUUAAUCGGAAUUACUGGGCGUAAAGCGCACGCAGGCGGUUUGUUAAGUCAGAUGUGAAAUCCCCGGGCUCAACCUGGGAACUGCAUUUGAAACUGGCAAGCUAGAGUCUCGUAGAGGGGGGUAGAAUUCCAGGUGUAGCGGUGAAAUGCGUAGAGAUCUGGAGGAAUACCGGUGGCGAAGGCGGCCCCCUGGACGAAGACUGACGCUCAGGUGCGAAAGCGUGGGGAGCAAACAGGAUUAGAUACCCUGGUAGUCCACGCUGUAAACGAUGUCGAUUUGGAGGUUGUGCCCUUGAGGCGUGGCUUCCGGAGCUAACGCGUUAAAUCGACCGCCUGGGGAGUACGGCCGCAAGGUUAAAACUCAAAUGAAUUGACGGGGGCCCGCACAAGCGGUGGAGCAUGUGGUUUAAUUCGAUGCAACGCGAAGAACCUUACCUACUCUUGACAUCCAGAGAACUUUCCAGAGAUGGAUUGGUGCYUUCGGGAACUCUGAGACAGGUGCUGCAUGGCUGUCGUCAGCUCGUGUUGUGAAAUGUUGGGUUAAGUCCCGCAACGAGCGCAACCCUUAUCCUUUGUUGCCAGCGGUUCGGCCGGGAACUCAAAGGAGACUGCCAGUGAUAAACUGGAGGAAGGUGGGGAUGACGUCAAGUCAUCAUGGCCCUUACGAGUAGGGCUACACACGUGCUACAAUGGCAUAUACAAAGAGAAGCGACCUCGCGAGAGCAAGCGGACCUCAUAAAGUAUGUCGUAGUCCGGAUUGGAGUCUGCAACUCGACUCCAUGAAGUCGGAAUCGCUAGUAAUCGUAGAUCAGAAUGCUACGGUGAAUACGUUCCCGGGCCUUGUACACACCGCCCGUCACACCAUGGGAGUNGGGUUGCAAAAGAAGUAGGUAGCUUAA